RNAcentral lists this ribosomal RNA (429 nucleotides) under Megalaria phayapipakiana. RNAcentral describes it as "SSU rRNA". It matches the Rfam family "Bacterial small subunit ribosomal RNA", at positions 351 to 817 of the family's 1533-position model. The record is from RNAcentral. Lineage: Eukaryota; Fungi; Ascomycota; Lecanoromycetes; Lecanorales; Megalariaceae.
ACUUGGAGGAAUGUAUAGCAACAGCUAUUUGUGUACUAAUACUAUGCAAAAUCAACUAUGUUGAAUAAAGUUCUGGCUAGAUUAUGAUUAUGACAUUUUCUAACCAUGUGUCUUGACCAAAUUACGUGCCAGCAGUCGCGGUAAUACGUAGAAGACUAGUGUUAUUCAUCUUUAAUAGGUUUAAAGGGUACUUAGACGGCAGAUAAAGCCAUAAUAGGUACUAAUCUGCUAGAGUUACUUGUAAGGGGGCUAUUAAGUACUAAUGGUGUAGGGAUAAAAUUUUUUGAUACCAUUUUUGGAAACAAAAGUAAUGGCACUGGUAAAGGCGAAGGCAUCCCCCUAUGUGAUAACUGACGUUGAAGGACGAAGGCUUUGGGUCGCGAUAAGGAUUAGAUACCCUAGUAGUCGAAGCAGAAAAUGAUGAGUGUC